CCUUAAGCAGUGAAACACAGUACUCAGUUGAUACUCGAAGACCGGCCCCCCAAAAGGCUCUGUAUUCCACAGCCAUGGAAUCCAUCCAGGGAGAGGCUCGACGGGGUGGUACCAUGGAGACUGAUGACCAUAUGGGUGGCAUCCCUGCCCGGAAUAGUAAAGGGGAAAGGCUUCUGCUUUAUAUUGGCAUCAUUGACAUUCUACAGUCUUACAGGUGAGGAGCAUAUGGAUCCCAAAUUAAGAGAGGGUGGAUACAGAUAACCAGUCACGUUUCUCUUUUAGAUAGGUUUGUUACCAAGUUCUUCCGGAAGCAAGAACAGUGAGUUGAAGUCUGGCUACUUACUUCAUUAGUUUUCAGAUGGUUUAUUUCCUUGAUUUUGCCUCUUUCCCCGGCCUUUAUAACCCUUCCUCCCCCAUCUCCCCAGACAUAAUGUAUACCUUCUGUGGAAAGCUGAGUCAGUCCUUGGAAGCACCAGGAUAGAAUAUGCCAUCUGUCUGGCUCUUUGCAAAAACCUAUGAGAUGAGUCAUGUUCCACAUGGGGAUACAACUGGAA
Molecule: small RNA, 554 nt
Filed under: Pan troglodytes (chimpanzee)
Lineage: Eukaryota; Metazoa; Chordata; Mammalia; Primates; Hominidae
Description: retained intron
Source: RNAcentral